Molecule: non-coding RNA, 116 nt
Organism: Xylaria digitata
Lineage: Eukaryota; Fungi; Ascomycota; Sordariomycetes; Xylariales; Xylariaceae
Source: the annotation of a GenBank genome assembly
GGCCUCGUGGCCCAAUGGCAAGGCGUCUGACUACGAAGAUAUUCAUUACGAACUUGUGCCGCAAUGAAUGCUUUAUGGUAAUCAGGAGAUUCUGGGUUCGACCCCCAGCGAGAUCA